This 439-nucleotide ribosomal RNA is filed under the name uncultured bacterium. RNAcentral describes it as "partial 16S ribosomal RNA". It matches the Rfam family "Bacterial small subunit ribosomal RNA", at positions 339 to 795 of the family's 1533-position model. The record is from RNAcentral.
CUACGGGGGGCUCCAGUGAGGAAUAUUGCACAAUGGGGGGAACCCUGAUGCAGCAACGCCGCGUGGAGGAUGACGCAUUUCGGUGUGUAAACUCCUUUUAUAUGUCAAGAAAAUGACGGUAGCAUAUGAAUAAGCACCGGCUAACUCCGUGCCAGCAGCCGCGGUAAUACGGAGGGUGCAAGCGUUACUCGGAAUCACUGGGCGGAAAGGACGCGUGGGCGGGUUGGAAAGUCAGGUGUGAAAUCCUACAGCUUAACUGUAGAACUGCACUUGAAACUUCUAAUCUAGAGUAUGGGAGGGGGAGAUGGAAUUAGUGGUGUAGGGGUAAAAUCCGUAGAUAUCACUAGGAAUACCUAAAGCGAAGGCGAUCUCCUGGAACAUUACUGACGCUAAGGCGUGAAAGCGUGGGGAGCAAACAGGAUUAGAUACCCUCGUAGUC